UACGUAGGGGGCAAGCGUUGUCCGGAUUUACUGGGCGUAAAGAGCGUGUAGGCGGCCAGGCAGGUCCGUUGUGAAAACUCGAGGCUCAACCUCGAGACGUCGAUGGAAACCGUCUGGCUAGAGUCCGGAAGAGGAGAGUGGAAUUCCUGGUGUAGCGGUGAAAUGCGCAGAUAUCAGGAAGAACACCUAUGGCGAAGGCAGCUCUCUGGGACGGUACUGACGCUGAGACGCGAAAGCGUGGGGAGCGAACAGG
This 253-nucleotide ribosomal RNA is filed under the name uncultured bacterium. RNAcentral's name for it is "partial 16S ribosomal RNA". It matches the Rfam family "Bacterial small subunit ribosomal RNA", at positions 524 to 776 of the family's 1533-position model. The record is from RNAcentral.